RNAcentral lists this ribosomal RNA (397 nucleotides) under uncultured Acanthocystidae. RNAcentral describes it as "partial small subunit ribosomal RNA". It matches the Rfam family "Eukaryotic small subunit ribosomal RNA", at positions 30 to 432 of the family's 1831-position model. Lineage: Eukaryota; Centroplasthelida; Acanthocystida; Acanthocystidae. The record is from RNAcentral.
GCUUGUCUCAAAGAUUAAGCCAUGCAUGUGUAAGAAUAAACCCCAGAAUGGUGAAUCUGCGAAUGGCUCAUUAAAACAGUUAUUGUUUAUUUGAUGGUACUUACUACAUGGAUAACCGUAGUAAUUCUAGAGCUAAUACAUGCGUCAAGCCCUGACUUCGGAAGGGGUGCAUUUAUUAGAUACAAACCAUCGGUCUUCGGGCCUUUGAUGGUGAGUCAUAAUAACUGAGCGAAUCGAAUGGCCUUGUGCUGUCGAUGCUUCAUUCAAAUUUCUGCCCUAUCAGCUUUCGAUGGUAGGAUCUUGGCCUACCAUGGCUAUAACGGGUAACGGGGAAUUAGGGUUCGGUUCCGGAGAGGGAGCUUGAGAAACGGCUACCACAUCCAAGGAAGGCAGCAGG